This is a small nuclear RNA of Meriones unguiculatus (Mongolian gerbil), 107 nucleotides long. The record is from Ensembl. NCBI's taxonomy places the organism in Eukaryota, Metazoa, Chordata, Mammalia, Rodentia, Muridae.
GUGCUUCCUUCAGCAGCACAUAUGCUAAAAUAUGAUUGAUGCAGAGAAGAUUAGCAUGGCCCCUGAGCAAGGAUGACAUGAAAAUUCGUGAAGCAUUCCAUAUUUUU